UACGUAGGGGGCAAGCGUUGUCCGGAUUUAUUGGGCGUAAAGAGCGUGUAGGCGGCUGGGUAGGUCCGUUGUGAAAACUCGAGGCUCAACCUCGAGACGCCGACGGAAACCCUCCAGCUAGAGUCCGGAAGAGGAGAGUGGAAUUCCUGGUGUAGCGGUGAAAUGCGCAGAUAUCAGGAAGAACACCCGUGGCUAAGGCGGCUCUCUAGUACGGUACUGACGCUGAGACGCGAAAGCGUGGGGAGCGAACAGG
RNAcentral lists this ribosomal RNA (253 nucleotides) under uncultured bacterium. RNAcentral's name for it is "partial 16S ribosomal RNA". It matches the Rfam family "Bacterial small subunit ribosomal RNA", at positions 524 to 776 of the family's 1533-position model. The record is from RNAcentral.